UCCAUGUGUACUCAUUGGUUGG
Molecule: non-coding RNA, 22 nt
Filed under: Rattus norvegicus (Norway rat)
Lineage: Eukaryota; Metazoa; Chordata; Mammalia; Rodentia; Muridae
Source: RNAcentral